RNAcentral lists this non-coding RNA (186 nucleotides) under Gammaproteobacteria bacterium. Its description in RNAcentral is "6S RNA". It matches the Rfam family "6S / SsrS RNA". From Rfam's summary of the family: E. coli 6S RNA was the first non coding RNA to be sequenced, but its function was unknown until recently. The record is from RNAcentral. Lineage: Bacteria; Pseudomonadati; Pseudomonadota; Gammaproteobacteria.
UGCCCUCUGCGCUGUACGCGAGUCGGUCAAGUAACCACUUGAGCCUAACUUACAGUGCUCGGGAACGGGCCCUCGGCGUUGUUGAGCACGUCCGCCCAGAGCGGAAAGCCUGAUACGCCGAACCAUGUUCCCCCCUGAACCGUCCGGUUCAAGGGUCACGCCGACAGCGGCAGGUGCGGAGGGCGC